RNAcentral lists this long non-coding RNA (648 nucleotides) under Fukomys damarensis (Damara mole-rat). RNAcentral describes it as "lncRNA (ENSFDAG00000025624.1)". The record is from RNAcentral. Lineage: Eukaryota; Metazoa; Chordata; Mammalia; Rodentia; Bathyergidae.
GUCUGUUCUUUGAGUUAAUCAGCUUCACAUAGAGUAAGACCCUCUCUGGUCUCAAUCAAAUUUCUUUAUUGUCUCAGCAUUUUCAGAAAUUCAUAGGAAACUGUGGUGUCACCAUUUCAGGGUUCAAAAGAGUUAUGAGUCAAUAAUGGAGAGCUUUCCCCUAACAAUCAGCACCAGCUUCUCAGUACCCUUCAGUCAAUACCCACAGGUGGCAGCCCUCUAGGUAAAUGGUAGGGCUGCAGCAACCCUGGUAGGGCAGUAGCGGCCUAAGGAGAGCUGUGUCUGCAGCUGGCACUGAAGAGUUUGGUGGGUGUCAGAUCCAGCCAUAGACAGACCGAAAAUUCAAGGAUGGAAGAGUGAUGAGCCUGCUUCCCGCUGCAGGCUCUACUACACUGAUAGGCUGAGAUGCAGCCGUGUGUUCAGGACCUACAAUGACCCCUCUGAAGUCCUCCCCCCACUCACCUGUCCAGCUUCUCCGCCAAGAUAAGCAGCAUUAGGAAAGAACUGUUUGAGUUACUUUCCUCUUACUUAUUUUUAUAUUAUAAUUAGGGCAUUAUUUUGGAAAUUAUGGAUAUACAUGAUCUAUGAUGUAUUCGUUGCCUUUGAGGACAAAGAAAUACUACAAAAAAGAUUUGUUUAAAGAGAGAG